AGAGUUUGAUCAUGGUUCAGGAUGAACGCUAGCUACAGGCUUAACACAUGCAAGUCGAGGGGAAACGACAUCGAAAGCUUGCUUUUGAUGGGCGUCGACCGGCGCACGGGUGAGUAACGCGUAUCCAACCUGCCCACCACUUGGGGAUAACCUUGCGAAAGUAAGACUAAUACCCAAUGACGUCUCUAGAAGACAUCUGAAGGAGAUUAAAGAUUUAUCGGUGAUGGACGGGGAUGCGUCUGAUUAGCUUGUUGGCGGGGUAACGGCCCACAAGGCGACGAUCAGUAGGGGUUCUGAGAGGAAGGUCCCCCANAUUGGAACUGAGACACGGUCCAAACUCCUACGGGAGCA
This 351-nucleotide ribosomal RNA is filed under the name uncultured bacterium. Its description in RNAcentral is "bacterial SSU rRNA". It matches the Rfam family "Bacterial small subunit ribosomal RNA", at positions 8 to 349 of the family's 1533-position model. The record is from RNAcentral.